CAAACGCCGAGCUGCUGUCUCUAACAGGCUGUGAAUAACACCUCAUGACGCUUCAGCCGUGGCACUGAUCCCACCGGAUCAGCGGGCAUAACGCCCCUGCCACCAGGGUUCUGUGGGAAACCACCGGGCCUCCCGUAUUUGGAAAGGUGUAUAUGAC
RNAcentral lists this non-coding RNA (157 nucleotides) under uncultured Oceanobacter sp. RNAcentral describes it as "Moco (molybdenum cofactor) riboswitch". It matches the Rfam family "Molybdenum/Tungsten riboswitch aptamer (Moco RNA motif)", at positions 10 to 125 of the family's 135-position model. The record is from RNAcentral. Lineage: Bacteria; Pseudomonadati; Pseudomonadota; Gammaproteobacteria; Oceanospirillales; Oceanospirillaceae.